CAGUGCAGUCACCCAUAAAGUAGAAAGCACUACUAACAGCACUGGAGGGUGUAGUGUUUCCUACUUUAUGGAUGAGUGUACUGU
This is a non-coding RNA of Equus caballus (horse), 84 nucleotides long. The record is from Rfam. NCBI's taxonomy places the organism in Eukaryota, Metazoa, Chordata, Mammalia, Perissodactyla, Equidae.